This 1336-nucleotide ribosomal RNA is filed under the name Vibrio sp. 3680. RNAcentral describes it as "bacterial SSU rRNA". It matches the Rfam family "Bacterial small subunit ribosomal RNA", at positions 100 to 1432 of the family's 1533-position model. The record is from RNAcentral. Lineage: Bacteria; Pseudomonadati; Pseudomonadota; Gammaproteobacteria; Vibrionales; Vibrionaceae.
GGACGGGUGAGUAAUGCCUAGGAAAUUGCCCUGAUGUGGGGGAUAACCAUUGGAAACGAUGGCUAAUACCGCAUGAUGCCUACGGGCCAAAGAGGGGGACCUUCGGGCCUCUCGCGUCAGGAUAUGCCUAGGUGGGAUUAGCUAGUUGGUGAGGUAAUGGCUCACCAAGGCGACGAUCCCUAGCUGGUCUGAGAGGAUGAUCAGCCACACUGGAACUGAGACACAGUCCAGACUCCUACGGGAGGCAGCAGUGGGGAAUAUUGCACAAUGGGCGCAAGCCUGAUGCAGCCAUGCCGCGUGUGUGAAGAAGGCCUUCGGGUUGUAAAGCACUUUCAGUCGUGAGGAAGGURGUGUAGUUAAUAGCUGCAUUAUUUGACGUUAGCGACAGAAGAAGCACCGGCUAACUCCGUGCCAGCAGCCGCGGUAAUACGGAGGGUGCGAGCGUUAAUCGGAAUUACUGGGCGUAAAGCGCAUGCAGGUGGUUUGUUAAGUCAGAUGUGAAAGCCCGGGGCUCAACCUCGGAAUAGCAUUUGAAACUGGCAGACUAGAGUACUGUAGAGGGGGGUAGAAUUUCAGGUGUAGCGGUGAAAUGCGUAGAGAUCUGAAGGAAUACCGGUGGCGAAGGCGGCCCCCUGGACAGAUACUGACACUCAGAUGCGAAAGCGUGGGGAGCAAACAGGAUUAGAUACCCUGGUAGUCCACGCCGUAAACGAUGUCUACUUGGAGGUUGUGGCCUUGAGCCGUGGCUUUCGGAGCUAACGCGUUAAGUAGACCGCCUGGGGAGUACKGUCGCAAGAUUAAAACUCAAAUGAAUUGACGGGGGCCCGCACAAGCGGUGGAGCAUGUGGUUUAAUUCGAUGCAACGCGAAGAACCUUACCUACUCUUGACAUCCAGAGAACUUUYCAGAGAUGRAUUGGUGCCUUCGGGAACUCUGAGACAGGUGCUGCAUGGCUGUCGUCAGCUCGUGUUGUGAAAUGUUGGGUUAAGUCCCGCAACGAGCGCAACCCUUAUCCUUGUUUGCCAGCGAGUAAUGUCGGGAACUCCAGGGAGACUGCCGGUGAUAAACCGGAGGAAGGUGGGGACGACGUCAAGUCAUCAUGGCCCUUACGAGUAGGGCUACACACGUGCUACAAUGGCGCAUACAGAGGGCAGCAAGCUAGCGAUAGUGAGCGAAUCCCAAAAAGUGCGUCGUAGUCCGGAUUGGAGUCUGCAACUCGACUCCAUGAAGUCGGAAUCGCUAGUAAUCGUGGAUCAGAAUGCCACGGUGAAUACGUUCCCGGGCCUUGUACACACCGCCCGUCACACCAUGGGAGUGGGCUGCAAAAGAAGUAGGUA